GAUGAACGCUAGCUACAGGCUUAACACAUGCAAGUCGAGGGGAAACGAUAUUGGAAGCUUGCUUCUGAUAGGCGUCGACCGGCGCACGGGUGAGUAACGCGUAUCCAACCUGCCCAUCACUUGGGGAUAACCUUGUGAAAGUAAGACUAAUACCCAAUGACGUCUCUAGAAGACAUCUGAAAGAGAUUAAAGAUUUAUCGGUGAUGGAUGGGGAUGCGUCUGAUUAGCUUGUUGGCGGGGUAACGGCCCACCAAGGCGACGAUCAGUAGGGGUUCUGAGAGGAAGGUCCCCCCACAUUGGAACUGAGACACGGUCCAAACUCCUACGGGAGGCAGCAGUGAGGAUAUUGGUCAAUGGACGAGAGUCUGAACCAGCCAAGUAGCGUGCAGGAUGACGGCCCUAUGGGUUGUAAACUGCUUUUAUAAGGGAAUAAAGUGGGAGUCGUGACUCUUUUUGCAUGUACCUUAUGAAUAAGGACCGGCUAAUUCCGUGCCAGCAGCCG
RNAcentral lists this ribosomal RNA (502 nucleotides) under uncultured bacterium. RNAcentral's name for it is "bacterial SSU rRNA". It matches the Rfam family "Bacterial small subunit ribosomal RNA", at positions 28 to 517 of the family's 1533-position model. The record is from RNAcentral.